Molecule: transfer RNA, 17 nt
Filed under: Eugenia pyriformis
Lineage: Eukaryota; Viridiplantae; Streptophyta; Magnoliopsida; Myrtales; Myrtaceae
Description: partial transfer RNA-His
Source: RNAcentral
CGGAUGUAGCCAAGGAU